UCUGUCUCAAAAACAACAACAACAACAACAACAACAAAGUGUUCUUUAUAUCAGUCAUGCUACAGUAUGAAAUUUUGAUAUUUAUACAUUAUGACAAUAUGUUACUUUGAAAAGUAUAUCUUCUUUGGUAGUUUCAGUUACUGUUAUUGUUUUGGAAUAUAAUAUAUCAGACAAGAAGUAUUUACUUUAACCAAAACCCAGCUGACAAUUUCAAAAUGUUCUAAAAAUGUUUAUUGAUAUGUUGAUAAUGAUACCAGUAAUAGUGACUGAUAUCAUCAAUGUUAUCACCAACAUUGUUCAGUAACAAUAGGAUAUGGUAAAAUGUGAUAUCUGUGUUAUGAAAAGCUAUAUAGGCAUACUUUUAGAGAUAUUGUGAGUUCAGUUCCAGAUCAAAGUAAUAAAGCAAAUAUUGCAAUAAAGUAAGUCACUUUUUUUUAGUUUCCCAUGGCAUAUAAAAAUUACACUUACACUAUAUUUUAGUCAAAUGUGCAAUAGCAUUAUGUCCAAAAAACAAUGUACAUACCUUCAUUAAAAAUAUUUUAUUGCUAAAAAAUGCUGUCACAGAGGCAGGAAGUGAGCAUAUGCUCUUGGAAAAAUGAUGCCAAUAGACUCGUUUGAUGCAAAGUUGCCACAAAUCUUCAAUUUGCAAAAAACACAUUCUCUGAGAAGUGCAAUAAAAUGAAACGCAAUAAAACAAGUGUGUGGUGUGUGUGUGUGUGUGUGGUGUGUGUUCAGAGAGAUAGGAGUGUGCAAUGGCAAGAAAACUCAAUUUAAAGCAAAUUUGGAUAGAGACCAAAUAUAUAGUAAUAGAAUGUGUGUUAUUAAAUAAAGUAUUGACAUUGGCUCAUGCUCCUAGAAGUCUAUUCUCAUUAUUAUGAGAGCUACUCUUUCUUCCAUUAGAUUGAUGAACUGCUGAAGGAAGAAAAAGUAAAUUCAUCUCAGUAAGUGAAAAUCAUUUCAUCGAGCAUGAAUUUUUGGGGUCCAGCCCCACACUAAAAUAGUCACAGGUUGAAUACCAAAUGGUCUCUAGCCUAGGCCAUUCUCAGUCAAAGGCAAACAUACAAUGCUUGUUCAAAGGAAGAAAUAUUAUUACCUGAAAUUUAACAAAGAUCUUGGAAAAUAUUUAAAUAGGCUAAAGGGACUUCUAAUUUUUUUUCCCUCGAGUACACAUGUUGUUCUGAAAGGUCUUCGGGCUGACAUUGUCUGUUUACUUAUUGAUUGCAUCUUUUUCACUGUGCCAACAGCAUUCCAGCCUCAGGGAUCAUUUUCCAAUGUAGCUUUUUAAAUGUUUUUAAUUAGGACAUGGUAAUGUAUUAAAGGCAGGCAGAAACUGAAAAGUAGCUAUCUUUCUACACACACCUUAGGCAAACACACACUUCAAAGACAUUCCCUUCUGGUGCCCCAGUUUCAGUCUCCCUCUUGCUGCCCUGCCCCUCUUCAGGAACCCUUGGUUUCUGUUGGAGUUUGGGGGCAGGGUGAAAAAUCAAUAAUCCAGCCCUCAACUUCCAAUUCCAUGCAGUUAAGAACUUGGCAAAAUGAGCAAGCAGAGGAUCAAAGAGUGAUAUCAACUUUAGCAGUGGUAAAGCUGGAUUGGAUAACACUGCACGUUCCAAGCACAAUAUCAGCUUUAGGUAAUGGGACAGAGAGCACAGGGUUCUUUAUUAAACUUCAGGAGAUACAACCGGAGCUACUUCCCUUCCGCUUUAUGUCUGCACUGGGGACUCACUGGACCAGGACUUACUAGCCAUCUUGAAGUAGAGAGACAAGAACGAGAGACCUGGCAGGACCCACCUGUAACAAGCUGAUCGCAUGGGGACACAAGAGAGGCAUGUACAGCUCCUAGGAGCACUUGUGAGGCAGGAGGGUCUGGAGGCAGGGAAUCUAAGGCUGAUUCAUGCUGACUUCCUAGAACUAAAUCAAAAGGAAAACCCCAACUUCCCACACCCAAGUGCUCAAGUAACAAAAGGACCAGAGGCUACUCCCUUUGCAACACCUCUCCCCUGCCGCCCUUUUUCUGCAUCACAGGUGAAAAAAUGAAAGUACCUCUGAUCGGUCCCCUCUCACAGGUUGGUUGUGGAAAAAGUCUUUAUUUGCAUAGGAGUAUUAAUUGGUCACUCUCCACAACCAAUCAGCUGUUUGCAUUCUGAUUGGUCCCUUCCAACCUAUCAGACUGAUCACAGGCCACUACUUCAUAUACAUAGGGUGUACACCAAGUAACCAAUGGAAACUUCUAAAGGGUAUUUAAACCCCAGAAAUUUCUGUAACUGGGCCCUUGACCUGCUUGCUUGCCCACUGCCACCCUGUGGAGUGUGUUUUCAUUUUCAAUAAAUCUCUGCUUUUGUUGUGUCAUUCUUUUCUUGCUUUGUUUGUGAGUUUUGUCCAGUUCUUUGUUCAAAGUGCCAAGAACCUGGACACCCCUUCACUGGUAACACUUGGGUCUGAGAGAGCUAGAGAAAAAGAGAAAUGACUCAUCAACACUUAACUGUGUGAGAUAAAGAAAUUUGGGAGAGUGAGUAUCAAAUUUUCUCCAGUCUCACCAAUCAGAAAAACCAUCUUUCUCCCAAGAAAAGAGAUGAGUGAGCAGGGAAGGGACGGGCUGUGGUACUUUUCUCAAGCAGGCUGUAAUUCUAAAUACACAUGGAGAAACAAUUAUAUUUCAUUUAUCCACUAAAAAUAAUACAUACGUUUUAUUUUUCCCCCUUUCAUAUCAAGCACUGAUUCGAGAUGACCCAGAAAUCCAAAGAUGGAAACAACUUUACUGAGGCCUGAAGGAAGUCCAUCUUCUUUCACAUAAAACCCACUCGAGAAAUAACAGGAAAAGAGAGAGAGAAAGCAACAGACAUGAGCAACACAAAGAGAACCAAGGUUCAAACUUGGUCAAGAAACUGGCUUAUACUUUCCAGGCAUUAUUACAAUCCAUGAAAUUUACAGAGAACCCGCUAAUGACUAUGCACACCAGUUCACUUCAAAAGUCUUUAUGGGAACAGACACAACGAUGGAAGAGGACUAAGGUCACCUAGGGCUCUGCUCUGCCUCAUCCUCACUCUGGGACCCAGGCUGAGCGGGCAGCUGCUGUCUGAGCAUUGCUGAUUGCCAUGGCAGAGGGAAAGAAAAAAGAAAAAAAUUUCAAGCUAGGCCUAAAAACUUUGGUCCAGAUAUACAUGGUUAUCGAGAACACACAGAGACAGAGAAGACCCUGCGAAGACAGCAGCAAAGCCUGGAGUGAUGCAGCUCAAGUUAAGGAAUGCCAAAGGCUGCCAGGCUAGGAAGGCAGGAUUUUUCUCAGGAGCCUUCGGAGAGGGCGUGGCCCUCAGAAUAGUGAGAGAAUAAACUUCUCUUGUUUUAAGCCUUCUGUUUAUGGUAAUUUGCUAUGGUCGUCCUAGGAAACUAACACACCGGCCCGAGUGAGUCCCACUGCCAUACCUGAUUUCAAUGGCACAGGGAAGGACAGUCUCAUAGUACUGGAUAGUCUCUCUCAGAUCCACCCUCUACCUUUCUAUACUCUGCUCUGAGCCUGGAAAGUUAAAAUUCAAGAACUGCAUAAACAGACUCCCCUUUCCUCUGGCUCCUGGUUAAGAUUUGCCAAUAGUGGGAGUUCAGAGGGAGUGAGGAGAGUGAAGUCAUCUAGUUUGCCACCUACUUCCCUGCCAGGCUGGUUGUAGCGGUGUUCCACUAUGGAAGGCCACAGCUCCAGCCAGGCAGCUCCUCCUUCAGUUUCUCCUUUCUCUCGGGGUUCUAGUAACUUGUUUCUUCCCCAUACUCCUCUAGGCGCAGGGUGCAACAGCUGUUGUUAGCCAACGUGCUCUGUCAUUCCUUGUUGGUUUCCCAUUGCCCCACUCACAGCCUUGUAAACAGUCCUUUUAUUAAUCUCUUCUCAAUAACUUCAUUUGAGCAUGCCAUCUGUUUUCUGCUGAGACCCAGCAGACACACAUACCAUGCACCCAGGAGGAGCCUUAGAAAUCUUUGGUGGACACAGGGACGACCUUGCUAAAUUGAGAAGCAGCUCUACUGAAACAAUCGUGGGAAAUGCAAUGAGAGUGGCAGGUCAAACGAUGGCUUUGCUUCCACCCCUCCCUCUCUGACAAAGGAAGAAGUGUGAGCUCUGAAGCAAGAUUCAAACCCUGGCUUCCCCGUUUAUCAGGUGUAAUAGGAACCUCUCUGAACCUCAGCUACUAUACGUGUAUCGUGGGUAUAACAAUGUUUCCUUUACAAGGCUGUUACGUGGAUUAUGGGAGAAAAAUAUGAAAAGAACCUAGCUAUGAUAGGCAGAAUAAUGUCCCCCAAAGAUUUCCAAGCCCUAAUCUCUGGGAACUUGUGAAUACGUUACUUUAUGUGGCAAAAGAGACAGUGUGGAUAUGAUUGAGAUUACAGACCUUAAAAUAGGAAGAUUAUCGUGGAUUAUCAAGGGGGCCCCAUCUAAUCACUUGAGCACUUAAAAGCAGAAGUGGAAGGCAGAAGAGUUUGUCAUAGAGAUGCAGCACAGGAAGCAGAGACAGAAGAAAUCCAGGGUGAGAAGAAUUUAAUAUGCCACUCCUAGCUCUGGGUGUGCAGAGACUACCUACAAUGACUCAAAAGAGGCCUCUAAAUACCAAGGGAGAUGCCCAGAUGGCAACCAGCAAGGAAACAGACCUCAAUCCUACAGACAGUGAUUUCUGCCCACUACCUGGAUUAACCUGGAAAUGGACUCUCCCCUAGAGCCUCCGGAAGGGAAAGCGGCUCAGCGAAUGCCUUGAUGUCAGUCUUGUGAGACUUGAAACAGAGAAACCAGCUGAACCUACUGGACUUCUGACCUACAGAACUGUGAGAUAAUAAACGGGUGUUGUUUUAAGCCCCUAAA
This is a non-coding RNA of Chlorocebus sabaeus (green monkey), 4837 nucleotides long. The record is from RefSeq and is a predicted model, not a curated record. Lineage: Eukaryota; Metazoa; Chordata; Mammalia; Primates; Cercopithecidae.